This 425-nucleotide ribosomal RNA is filed under the name uncultured bacterium. Its description in RNAcentral is "bacterial SSU rRNA". It matches the Rfam family "Bacterial small subunit ribosomal RNA", at positions 354 to 796 of the family's 1533-position model. The record is from RNAcentral.
GUGGGGAAUAUUGGACAAUGGGCGAAAGCCUGAUCCAGCCAUGCCGCGUGAGUGAUGAAGGCCUUAGGGUUGUAAAGCUCUUUUGUCCGGGAAGAUAAUGACUGUACCGGAAGAAUAAGCCCCGGCUAACUUCGUGCCAGCAGCCGCGGUAAUACGAAGGGGGCUAGCGUUGCUCGGAAUCACUGGGCGUAAAGGGCGCGUAGGCGGACUUUUAAGUCGGAGGUGAAAGCCCAGGGCUCAACCCUGGAAUUGCCUUCGAUACUGGGAGUCUUGAGUGCGGAAGAGGUUGGUGGAACUGCGAGUGUAGAGGUGAAAUUCGUAGAUAUUCGCAAGAACACCGGUGGCGAAGGCGGCCAACUGGUCCGAAACUGACGCUGAGGCGCGAAAGCGUGGGGAGCAAACAGGAUUAGAUACCCUGGUAGUCC